RNAcentral lists this ribosomal RNA (491 nucleotides) under uncultured bacterium. RNAcentral describes it as "bacterial SSU rRNA". It matches the Rfam family "Bacterial small subunit ribosomal RNA", at positions 791 to 1284 of the family's 1533-position model. The record is from RNAcentral.
UAGUCCACGCUGUAAACGAUGAUAACUGGUUGUGCGCAAUACACAGUGCGCGACUGAGGGAAACCAUUAAGUUAUCCACCUGGGGAGUACGUUCGCAAGAAUGAAACUCAAAGGAAUUGACGGGGGCCCGCACAAGCGGAGGAACAUGUGGUUUAAUUCGAUGAUACGCGAGGAACCUUACCCGGGCUUAAAUGCAGGUUGCAUGAAUCAGAGAUGAUUCUUUCUUUCACGAGACUACCUACAAGGUGCUGCAUGGUUGUCGUCAGCUCGUGCCGUGAGGUGUCGGGUUAAGUCCCAUAACGAGCGCAACCCCUAUCCUUAGUUGCCAACAGGUCAAGCUGGGAACUCUAGGGAGACUGCCGCCGCAAGGCGCGAGGAAGGUGGGGAUGACGUCAAAUCAGCACGGCCCUUACGUCCGGGGCUACACACGUGUUACAAUGGCAGGUACAGAGGGCAGCUACAUGGCGACAUGAUGCUAAUCUCGAAAGCCU